GAUAAACGCUGGCGGCGCGCAUAAGACAUGCAAGUCGAACGAACUUAAUUGAUUCUUUAAGAUUCAAAGCGGUUAGUGGCGGACUGGUGAGUAACACGUAAGUAAUCUACCUAUUAGAGGGGAAUAACAAUGAGAAAUCAUUGCUAAUACCGCAUAUGCCAAAAGGGUCGCAUGACCAAGUUGGGAAAGGAGAAAUCCGCUAAUAGAUGAGCUUGCGACUGAUUAGCUAGUUGGUGAGGUAAAGGCUUACCAAGGCGACGAUCAGUAGCCGGAUUGAGAGAUUGGGACGGCCACAUUGGGACUGAGAUACGGGCCCAGACUCCUACGGGAGGCAGCAGUCGGGAAUAUUGCGCAAUGGGAGGGAACUCUGACGCAGUGACGCCGCGUGCAGGGAAGAAGGUUUUUCGGAUUGUAAACUGCUUUAGACAGGGAAGAAAGAAAUGGACAGUACCUGUAGAAAUAAGCUCCGGGCUAAACUACGUGCCAGCCCGCCG
This 494-nucleotide ribosomal RNA is filed under the name uncultured bacterium. RNAcentral describes it as "bacterial SSU rRNA". It matches the Rfam family "Bacterial small subunit ribosomal RNA", at positions 28 to 520 of the family's 1533-position model. The record is from RNAcentral.